This 75-nucleotide transfer RNA is filed under the name Natrialba magadii. RNAcentral's name for it is "transfer RNA-Ala". It matches the Rfam family "tRNA". From Rfam's summary of the family: Transfer RNA (tRNA) molecules are approximately 80 nucleotides in length. Their secondary structure includes four short double-helical elements and three loops (D, anti-codon, and T loops). Lineage: Archaea; Methanobacteriati; Methanobacteriota; Halobacteria; Halobacteriales; Natrialbaceae. The record is from RNAcentral.
GGUGGGCCCAUAGCUCAGUGGGAGAGUGCCUCCUUUGCAAGGAGGAUGCCUGGGUUCAAAUCCCAGUGGGUCCAU